UCGAGUAGGUACAUACAUUGUACAACAAAAUUGCAUUAGUGUUUCUUGAUUAAAUAUUGCGAAAGGUCCGAUUUCUUUCAUUGUGAGUAACCCGAGCAAGGGUACCUAAGUGGCCUCAAGAAUACACUGCGAUUAACGUAAUUAUUAUCCCACGUUAUGAUUUAUCAAUUAUCAUUGUUCAAAUGAAUUUCACGCAACAGUUUCCUAUUGAAAUCUAGUUAGGUAAUUUUCAAAAGUUGGCAAAUCAGAAAUCUAUACAAUGUUUAUGGAAUAAUUGAUACCUAUAAAAGUACGAUGAACGCUUUGUAAGAAUUUCCAUACUGUUUUUGCAUAUAGGUAUGUACAAUCAGACGUGUUGCAUUUAAGUUUAAACUCGAGUUUAGUAAGUUUAGGUACUUCGAAAUAAUUUUCGGUCAAACUUGGAAGAAAUUUUACGUGGUAUUUCAAAUUCAAUUUAAACGAGAUUCACAGAUUGAUAGCAGAGCAAACGUGAAGUGGGUAACAAUGAUUACGUUACCAAGUUUCUCUUCGUCAUUGGCUGUUCUCCUGAUAUGCAGCUUCAUUCCGUUCACCGUGCCAUUAACAUUUCAGUACGAUUACACAUUGACCGGUCCAAUUGAAAAUGUACUUUUUUUUACCUGAAAACGUCAAUUUUUUCGUUCAAGAAGACGCUGGAACAAUAUGUUACAUCUCUGUCGACGAUAAUGUUAUAUCCACGGGCUUUGGUACCCGGCGUAAAUAUCAUAAGUGUGAAGACAAGAAUUUAUGUCUAUUUUCUGAUAACGCUUUCAUACAAGAGCACAAAGUUGAUGUUUUUGCCGUCUAUAACAAUGGUACCAACAAAGUAACCGGAAUACAGUAUUCUGGCAGAAACGUACAGGAAUAGAGGAUCAGAAAGACCGGGACUGUUAAACCAUUUGCAAAUAAAUAAUAUAACUUGCGAAUACAGCAGGUUGAUUUUUUGUCCUAUGCUAGCUUUUAAUUAGGUAUUUAUGAAUUAUUGAAAAUUAAAGUCAAUAAAAAAUAUUCGUUGAUGCCUCAAAAAA
Long non-coding RNA from Planococcus citri (citrus mealybug), 1046 nucleotides. RefSeq lists it as uncharacterized. Lineage: Eukaryota; Metazoa; Arthropoda; Insecta; Hemiptera; Pseudococcidae. The transcript is spliced from 2 exons. The record is from RefSeq and is a predicted model, not a curated record.